UUGAACGCUGGCGGCAGGCCUAACACAUGCAAGUCGAGCGGAUGAAGGGAGCUUGCUCCUGGAUUCAGCGGCGGACGGGUGAGUAAUGCCUAGGAAUCUGCCUGGUAGUGGGGGAUAACGUCCGGAAACGGGCGCUAAUACCGCAUACGUCCUGAGGGAGAAAGUGGGGGAUCUUCGGACCUCACGCUAUCAGAUGAGCCUAGGUCGGAUUAGCUAGUUGGUGGGGUAAAGGCCUACCAAGGCGACGAUCCGUAACUGGUCUGAGAGGAUGAUCAGUCACACUGGAACUGAGACACGGUCCAGACUCCUACGGGAGGCAGCAGUGGGGAAUAUUGGACAAUGGGCGAAAGCCUGAUCCAGCCAUGCCGCGUGUGUGAAGAAGGUCUUCGGAUUGUAAAGCACUUUAAGUUGGGAGGAAGGGCAGUAAGUUAAUACCUUGCUGUUUUGACGUUACCAACAGAAAAAGCACCGGCUAACUUCGUG
Molecule: ribosomal RNA, 483 nt
Filed under: uncultured bacterium
Lineage: Bacteria
Description: partial 16S ribosomal RNA
Rfam family: Bacterial small subunit ribosomal RNA
Source: RNAcentral